This 447-nucleotide ribosomal RNA is filed under the name uncultured soil bacterium. Its description in RNAcentral is "bacterial SSU rRNA". It matches the Rfam family "Bacterial small subunit ribosomal RNA", at positions 26 to 517 of the family's 1533-position model. The record is from RNAcentral.
AGAACGAACGCUGGCGGCAGGCUUAACACAUGCAAGUCGAACGCCCCGCAAGGGGAGUGGCAGACGGGUGAGUAACACGUGGGAACGUGCCCAAAGGUACGGAACAACUCCGGGAAACUGGAGCUAAUACCGUAUGUGCCCGAAAGGGGAAAGAUUUAUCGCCUUUGGAUCGGCCCGCGUCUGAUUAGCUAGUUGGCGGGGUAAUGGCCCACCAAGGCGACGAUCAGUAGCUGGUCUGAGAGGAUGACCAGCCACACUGGGACUGAGACACGGCCCAGACUCCGUACGGGAGGCAGCAGGUGGGGAAUAUUGGACAAUGGGCGCAAGCCUGAUCCAGCCAUCGCCGCGUGAGUGAUGAAGGUCCGUUUAGGGUUGUAAAGUCUUCUUUCGCCAGGGACGAUAAGUGACGGUACCUGGAUAAGACGCCCGCUACUGUCGCAGCAGCCG